Patella vulgata (common limpet) is the source of this 4853-nucleotide long non-coding RNA. RefSeq lists it as uncharacterized. The transcript is spliced from 12 exons. Lineage: Eukaryota; Metazoa; Mollusca; Gastropoda; Patellidae. The record is from RefSeq and is a predicted model, not a curated record.
GGAAAGUGUCAGAAAUAGUGCCAGGACAAUGUUUCAUAGAGUGGAAUGAUUGACCUCAACACAAGUAUUAAAAAAAAAGAAGCAAAACAGGUGCCAGGACAAUGUUUCAUAGAGUGGAAUGAUUGACCUCAACACAAGUAUUAAAAAAAAAGAAGCAAAACAGGUCUACAUCUCAAAACCUGAUCUCUUCCUGGACUGGCUUUAGGAGAACGAUGAUGCAUAUCAAUUUCAUCCCUGAUCUCUAUGACACCUGUGGUGGAAGUGGAGGGCAAAUCGUAAUCAGUUUGGGUUCCAGCCCCGAGGACCUCUGUAAACUUUGCUUUUUGGUGAUGACUUAAUUUCCGAGCUUGAAAAGGACGCUUGUGUGUUUAUCAUGGCCUCUCAUAUUGGAAGAUAACAUUAAUGGCUUGUGUGUUGAUCGACGGUUGUGCAUAUCUCUUGGUCAGGACAGGUGUAGGCACCAUCGCCAUUGUAAAUCAUUUGACAGGCCUGAGUGAACGGGGCGACCUAUGAUUGGUCAGCAAUGUAUCAGAUUCCAUACCGGGGGGUGGGGAUGAAAAAACUGUUGUAGUGUUACAUAAUCAGAUUAUUUCAACUUACUUAUCCUGUGGAAAUACAGCUAUAUAGGAGAUAUUUUGAAAUUCAUAGGCACUGCAUGUUUCAACAUUUUAGAUUUGACCACAAUUUGGCACUUGAAACUAUGUUAACAGAGAAAAACUGUGUGGUUUUCGAUGAAAGUGUUAAAAGUCUAAUAUUGCAUCAUGAUUACUGUUUUAAAAAACAUGUGAGGUAUGAUGAUAUAAAGAAGCAUGGCCGACUCGGGAUGUUGAUAUUUUUUCAAGGGCUUAUUUCCUGAAGUUUUGAAUGGAAAGUGUCAGAAAUAGUGCCAGGACAAUGUUUCAUAGAGUGGAAUGAUUGACCUCAACACAAGUAUUAAAAAAAAAGAAGCAAAACAGGUGCCAGGACAAUGUUUCAUAGAGUGGAAUGAUUGACCUCAACACAAGUAUUAAAAAAAAAGAAGCAAAACAGGUCUACAUCUCAAAACCUGAUCUCUUCCUGGACUGGCUUUAGGAGAACGAUGAUGCAUAUCAAUUUCAUCCCUGAUCUCUAUGACACCUGUGGUGGAAGUGGAGGGCAAAUCGUAAUCAGUUUGGGUUCCAGCCCCGAGGACCUCUGUAAACUUUGCUUUUUGGUGAUGACUUAAUUUCCGAGCUUGAAAAGGACGCUUGUGUGUUUAUCAUGGCCUCUCAUAUUGGAAGAUAACAUUAAUGGCUUGUGUGUUGAUCGACGGUUGUGCAUAUCUCUUGGUCAGGACAGGUGUAGGCACCAUCGCCAUUGUAAAUCAUUUGACAGGCCUGAGUGAACGGGGCGACCUAUGAUUGGUCAGCAAUGUAUCAGAUUCCAUACCGGGGGGUGGGGAUGAAAAAACUGUUGUAGUGUUACAUAAUCAGAUUAUUUCAACUUACUUAUCCUGUGGAAAUACAGCUAUAUAGGAGAUAUUUUGAAAUUCAUAGGCACUGCAUGUUUCAACAUUUUAGAUUUGACCACAAUUUGGCACUUGAAACUAUGUUAACAGAGAAAAACUGUGUGGUUUUCGAUGAAAGUGUUAAAAGUCUAAUAUUGCAUCAUGAUUACUGUUUUAAAGUAUUUUCGUGUUUGAUUUAUAUUGAAUUCAUCUCAUCUUUUUGAAGAAUGCAUUUAUGUUCAAAAAUAAAAAUGUUCUGUGGAAUUCAAAAUUCAUGUGCUUUUAAAUUAUCAGAUUCCAAACUGGGGGGUAGGGAUGAAAAAGCUGUUGUAGUGUUACAUAAUCAGAUUAUUUCAACUUACUUAUCCUAUGGAAAUACAGCUAUAUAGGAGAUAUUUUAAAAUUGAUAGGCACUGCAUGUUUCAACAUUUUAGAUUUGACCACAAUUUGGCACUUGAAACUACGUUAACAGAGAAAAACUGUGUGGUUUUCGAUGAAAGUGUUAAAAAGUCUAAUAUUGCAUCAUGAUUACUGUUUUAAAGUAUUUUCGUGUUUGAUUUAUAUUGAAUUUAUCUCAUCUUUUUACAGAAUGCAUUUAUGUUCAAAAAUAAAAAUGUUCUGUUUAAUUCAAAAUUCAUGUGCUUUUAAAUUUCUGUCUGAAAUUCCGCAGUUUUCUGAUGCAUUAUAGUGUUUGCAGAAUGCCGCACAGCUCAUCUGAAAAUGCAUAGAUUUUCAUAUUCCUUGGUCAGGGAAUUGCAUAUAUGUUUGUUUAUUAGAUAACAACAGAUUUGUUUAAACUGCAGAAACAUGUGAGGUAUAUGAUAUAAAGAAGCAUGGCCGACUCGGGAUGUUGAUAUUUUUUCAAGGGCUUAUUUCCUGAAGUUUUGAAUGGAAAGUGUCAGAAAUAGUGCCAGGACAAUGUUUCAUAGAGUGGAAUGAUUGACCUCAACACAAGUAUUAAAAAAAAAGAAGCAAAACAGGUCUACAUCUCAAAACCUGAUCUCUUCCUGGACUGGCUUUAGGAGAACGAUGAUGCAUAUCAAUUUCAUCCCUGAUCUCUAUGACACCUGUGGUGGAAGUGGAGGGCAAAUCGUAAUCAGUUUGGGUUCCAGCCCCGAGGACCUCUGUAAACUUUGCUUUUUGGUGAUGACUUAAUUUCCGAGCUUGAAAAGGACGCUUGUGUGUUUAUCAUGGCCUCUCAUAUUGGAAGAUAACAUUAAUGGCUUGUGUGUUGAUCGACGGUUGUGCAUAUCUCUUGGUCAGGACAGGUGUAGGCACCAUCGCCAUUGUAAAUCAUUUGACAGGCCUGAGUGAACGGGGCGACCUAUGAUUGGUCAGCAAUGUAUCAGAUUCCAUACCGGGGGGUGGGGAUGAAAAAACUGUUGUAGUGUUACAUAAUCAGAUUAUUUCAACUUACUUAUCCUGUGGAAAUACAGCUAUAUAGGAGAUAUUUUGAAAUUCAUAGGCACUGCAUGUUUCAACAUUUUAGAUUUGACCACAAUUUGGCACUUGAAACUAUGUUAACAGAGAAAAACUGUGUGGUUUUCGAUGAAAGUGUUAAAAGUCUAAUAUUGCAUCAUGAUUACUGUUUUAAAGUAUUUUCGUGUUUGAUUUAUAUUGAAUUCAUCUCAUCUUUUUGAAGAAUGCAUUUAUGUUCAAAAAUAAAAAUGUUCUGUGGAAUUCAAAAUUCAUGUGCUUUUAAAUUAUCAGAUUCCAAACUGGGGGGUAGGGAUGAAAAAGCUGUUGUAGUGUUACAUAAUCAGAUUAUUUCAACUUACUUAUCCUAUGGAAAUACAGCUAUAUAGGAGAUAUUUUAAAAUUGAUAGGCACUGCAUGUUUCAACAUUUUAGAUUUGACCACAAUUUGGCACUUGAAACUACGUUAACAGAGAAAAACUGUGUGGUUUUCGAUGAAAGUGUUAAAAAGUCUAAUAUUGCAUCAUGAUUACUGUUUUAAAGUAUUUUCGUGUUUGAUUUAUAUUGAAUUUAUCUCAUCUUUUUACAGAAUGCAUUUAUGUUCAAAAAUAAAAAUGUUCUGUUUAAUUCAAAAUUCAUGUGCUUUUAAAUUUCUGUCUGAAAUUCCGCAGUUUUCUGAUGCAUUAUAGUGUUUGCAGAAUGCCGCACAGCUCAUCUGAAAAUGCAUAGAUUUUCAUAUUCCUUGGUCAGGGAAUUGCAUAUAUGUUUGUUUAUUAGAUAACAACAGAUUUGUUUAAACUGCAGAAACAUGUGAGGUAUAUGAUAUAAAGAAGCAUGGCCGACUCGGGAUGUUGAUAUUUUUUCAAGGGCUUAUUUCCUGAAGUUUUGAAUGGAAAGUGUCAGAAAUAGUGCCAGGACAAUGUUUCAUAGAGUGGAAUGAUUGACCUCAACACAAGUAUUAAAAAAAAAGAAGCAAAACAGGUCUACAUCUCAAAACCUGAUCUCUUCCUGGACUGGCUUUAGGAGAACGAUGAUGCAUAUCAAUUUCAUCCCUGAUCUCUAUGACACCUGUGGUGGAAGUGGAGGGCAAAUCGUAAUCAGUUUGGGUUCCAGCCCCGAGGACCUCUGUAAACUUUGCUUUUUGGUGAUGACUUAAUUUCCGAGCUUGAAAAGGACGCUUGUGUGUUUAUCAUGGCCUCUCAUAUUGGAAGAUAACAUUAAUGGCUUGUGUGUUGAUCGACGGUUGUGCAUAUCUCUUGGUCAGGACAGGUGUAGGCACCAUCGCCAUUGUAAAUCAUUUGACAGGCCUGAGUGAACGGGGCGACCUAUGAUUGGUCAGCAAUGUAUCAGAUUCCAUACCGGGGGGUGGGGAUGAAAAAACUGUUGUAGUGUUACAUAAUCAGAUUAUUUCAACUUACUUAUCCUGUGGAAAUACAGCUAUAUAGGAGAUAUUUUGAAAUUCAUAGGCACUGCAUGUUUCAACAUUUUAGAUUUGACCACAAUUUGGCACUUGAAACUAUGUUAACAGAGAAAAACUGUGUGGUUUUCGAUGAAAGUGUUAAAAGUCUAAUAUUGCAUCAUGAUUACUGUUUUAAAGUAUUUUCGUGUUUGAUUUAUAUUGAAUUCAUCUCAUCUUUUUGAAGAAUGCAUUUAUGUUCAAAAAUAAAAAUGUUCUGUGGAAUUCAAAAUUCAUGUGCUUUUAAAUUAUCAGAUUCCAAACUGGGGGGUAGGGAUGAAAAAGCUGUUGUAGUGUUACAUAAUCAGAUUAUUUCAACUUACUUAUCCUAUGGAAAUACAGCUAUAUAGGAGAUAUUUUAAAAUUGAUAGGCACUGCAUGUUUCAACAUUUUAGAUUUGACCACAAUUUGGCACUUGAAACUACGUUAACAGAGAAAAACUGUGUGGUUUUCGAUGAAAGUGUUAAAAAGUCUAAUAUUGCAUCAUGAUUACUGUUUUAAAGUAUUUUCGUGUUUG